AGAGAGCAUACUGGGGAAAAAAGCCUGGUGGAGAGGUUGUCAUCAAGGAAUACUCUAAAACUAAAAGCCUGGUGGAGAGGUUGUCAUCAAGGAAUACUCUAAAACUAAAAGCCUGGUGGAGAGGUUGUCAUCAAGGAAUACUCCAAAACUAAAAGCCUGGUGGAGAGGUUGUCAUCAAGGAAUACUCUAAAACUAAAAGCCUGGUGGAGAGGUUGUCAUCAAGGAAUACUCUAAAACUAAAAGCCUGGUGGAGAGGUUGUCAUCAAGGAAUACUCCAAAACUAAAAGCCUGGUGGAGAGGUUGUCAUCAAGGAAUACUCCAAAACUAAAAGCCUGGUGGAGAGGUUGUCAUCAAGGAAUACUCUAAAACUAAAAGCCUGGUGGAGAGGUUGUCAUCAAGGAAUACUCUAAAACUAAAAGCCUGGUGGAGAGGUUGUCAUCAAUGAAUACUCUAAAACUAAAAGCCUGGUGGAGAGGUUGUCAUCAAGGAAUACUCCAAAACUAAAAGUCUGACUGACCUGACCAGAUGAAAGAUGAUCAACGUUCUUGUUUCAGGCGAUGACGGAGACUCAUGGGACAUCAGCACCGCGCAGUGUGAGAGAAACGUUUGCACAAGGCAUUGUGUCCUUGUUCCCAUACCUGAAUGAUCCCUACAUCACAAAUGGAUAUGAACAUUAUUACGACCCUAAUAGUGGAGAAGGGUACCUCUCGUAUAGAAUCAAAACCAUUCAGAGGAAUUUGGCUUCAUCAGAGAAACUGCCCACUCA
Molecule: long non-coding RNA, 766 nt
Organism: Oncorhynchus nerka (sockeye salmon)
Lineage: Eukaryota; Metazoa; Chordata; Actinopteri; Salmoniformes; Salmonidae
Exons: 3
Source: RefSeq, a predicted model, not a curated record